RNAcentral lists this ribosomal RNA (203 nucleotides) under Nectria sp. (in: ascomycete fungi). RNAcentral describes it as "Nectria sp. (in: Fungi) partial large subunit ribosomal RNA". The record is from RNAcentral. Lineage: Eukaryota; Fungi; Ascomycota; Sordariomycetes; Hypocreales; Nectriaceae.
AAGCGUUCAUGACCAGACUUGGGCAGGUUGAUCAUCCGUGGUUCUCCGCGGUGCACUCUGCCUGCCCAGGCCAGCAUCAGUUUGCUUCGGGGGAUAAAGGCUUCGGGAAUGUGGCUCCUUCGGGAGUGUUAUAGCCCGUUGUGUAAUACCCUGAGGCAGACUGAGGUUCGCGCUCUGCAAGGAUGCUGGCGUAAUGGUCAUCA